RNAcentral lists this ribosomal RNA (521 nucleotides) under uncultured bacterium. RNAcentral describes it as "bacterial SSU rRNA". It matches the Rfam family "Bacterial small subunit ribosomal RNA", at positions 18 to 518 of the family's 1533-position model. The record is from RNAcentral.
UCUGGCUCAGGACGAACGCUGGCGGCGUGCCUAACACGAUGCAAGUCAACGGGGAUUUGUUUCGGCAGAAUCCUAGUGGCGAACGGGUGAGUAACGCGUAGGCAACCUGCCCUCCGCCGGGGACAACACUCCGAAAGGGGUGCUAAUACCGGAUACGAAGUCUGUGCCGCAUGGUACGGAUUUGAAAGAUGGCCUCUAUUUAUAAGCUAUCGCCGGGGGAUGGGCCUGCGUCCGAUUAGCUGGUUGGUGGGUAACGGCCUACCAAGGCGACGAUCGGUAGCCGGUCUGAGAGGAUGAACGGCCACAUUGGGACUGAGACACGGCCCAGACUCCUACGGGGGGCAGCAGUGGGGAAUCUUCCGCAAUGGGCGCAAGCCUGACGGAGCAACGCCGCCGUGAGUGAGGAAGUUCUUCGGAACGUAAAGCUCUGUUGUUCCUGACGAACCUCCCCUCUAUCAACAACGGAGGGGACUGACGGUAGGGAACGAGGAAGCCACGGCUAACUACGUGCCAGCCGCAGC